RNAcentral lists this ribosomal RNA (494 nucleotides) under uncultured bacterium. RNAcentral describes it as "partial 16S ribosomal RNA". It matches the Rfam family "Bacterial small subunit ribosomal RNA", at positions 29 to 523 of the family's 1533-position model. The record is from RNAcentral.
AUGAGCGCUAGCGGGAGGCCUAACACAUGCAAGCCGAGCGGUAGAGAUCUUUCGGGAUCUUGAGAGCGGCGUACGGGUGCGGAACACGUGUGCAACCUGCCUUUAUCUGGGAGAUAGCCUUUCGAAAGGAAGAUUAAUACCCCAUAAUAUAUGAUUCGGCAUCGGAUUCUAUUGAAAGCUCCGGCGGAUAGAGAUGGGCACGCGCAAGAUUAGAUAGUUGGUGAGGUAACGGCUCACCAAGUCAGUGAUCUUUAGGGGGCCUGAGAGGGUGACCCCCCACACUGGUAAUGAGACACGGACCAGACUCAUACGGGAGGCAGCAGUGAGGAAGAUUGGACAAUGGGUGAAAGCCUGAUCCAGCCAUCCCGCGUGAAGGACGAGGGCCCGAUGGGUUGUAAACUUCUUUUGUAUAGGGAUAAACCUACCCUCGUGAGGGUAGCUGAAGGUACUAUACGAAUAAGCACCGGCUAACGCCGUGCCAGCCGCCGCGGUAA